ACAGCUAAACAUGUAAGUCGAAGGUUAUGGAGGCAAGAGGCUGAGAGCAUGUCCUUGAAUACUAAAAUAGGAAACCUUGAGGUUAGGGUUUGUGGUGGUGUUAGUGAGAUUAAUAUAGUGUACAGGGUAGAUGAGUCCAGUAUAGAACUGACUGUGUGUAUACCUGAUAACUAUCUAUUAUCACCUCCUACCAUUAAAGAAGGUUGAUCUCUCAUUGUGAAGGAAAUGGCUACUACAGCUUAGUUCGUUUCUUGCUAAUCAAAUGAUGGUUUCUAUAUUGGAAGGAUUAUUAUUAUGGAAGAGUAAUCUUGAUAAACUUUUGCUGGUUUGGAUGACUGCAUGAUAUGCUCAGUAUCAUUCAUGAACCUAAUUAUUCA
Molecule: long non-coding RNA, 377 nt
Organism: Amphimedon queenslandica
Lineage: Eukaryota; Metazoa; Porifera; Demospongiae; Haplosclerida; Niphatidae
Exons: 3
Source: RefSeq, a predicted model, not a curated record